RNAcentral lists this ribosomal RNA (497 nucleotides) under uncultured bacterium. RNAcentral describes it as "partial 16S ribosomal RNA". It matches the Rfam family "Bacterial small subunit ribosomal RNA", at positions 28 to 507 of the family's 1533-position model. The record is from RNAcentral.
GAUGAACGCUGGCGGCGUGCCUAAUACAUGCAAGUCGAGCGAACGGACGAGAAGCUUGCUUUUCUGGUGUUAGCGGCGGACGGGUGAGUAACACGUGGAUAACCUACCUAUAAGACUGGGAUAACUUCGGGAAACCGGAGCUAAUACCGGAUAAUAUUUUGAACCGCAUGGUUCAAAAGUGAAAGACGGUCUUGCUGUCACUUAUAGAUGGAUCCGCGCUGCAUUAGCUAGUUGGUAAGGUAACGGCUUACCAAGGCAACGAUGCAUAGCCGACCUGAGAGGGUGAUCGGCCACCCUGGAACUGAGCCACGGUCCAGACUCCUACGGGAGGCAGCAGUAGGGAAUCUUCCGCAAUGGGCGAAAGCCUGACGGAGCAACGCCGCGUGAGUGAUGAAGGUCUUCGGAUCGUAAAACUCUGUUAUUAGGGAAGAACAUAUGUGUAAGUAACUGUGCACAUCUUGACGGUACCUAAUCAGAAAGCCACGGCUAACUACGUG